Molecule: non-coding RNA, 436 nt
Organism: Pelobates cultripes (western spadefoot toad)
Lineage: Eukaryota; Metazoa; Chordata; Amphibia; Anura; Pelobatidae
Source: the annotation of a GenBank genome assembly
CUCAGAGAUGCAUUCACACACCCAAAGGUUUCUAAGCAAUCUCUUCCUUGUACCGAAGAAAUUUACACCCGCUAAACGCAUUUGUCGCAUACCACUAUUUCAAGAUGGAAGGUAUUCACUCUCUCCGAGACCUACUUCUGCUGGGGGAUUGGAUGGUCAAGCUUGACCUGCAAGACGCGUACCUCAAUAUUCUGAUGGUCAAGGACUGCCAGCAGUUCCUGCAAUUCUGGUGGGAGAAGACCAUGUGGCAUUUCAAUUGCCAAACGGGUUACACAUCAAUUGCCACGAACUACUGGCAGACUUGUUUGCCCUUCAAAGUCUAUUAGGGAUUUUGACCAACUGCUCCAUCCUUUUUCGUAUGGACAACGUUUCGGCAGUUUGCUACAUCAACCAUCUCUGAGGCAUUAUGUCCACGGUUUUGGUGGAACUGGCCAAA